CAGUAGCCGCGGUAAUACAGAGGGUGCGAGCGUUAAUCGGAAUUACUGGGCGUAAAGCGCGCGUAGGCGGUUACUCAAGUCAGAGGUGAAAGCCCGGGGCUCAACCCCGGAACUGCCUUUGAAACUAGGUGACUAGAAUCUUGGAGAGGUCAGUGGAAUUCCGAGUGUAGAGGUGAAAUUCGUAGAUAUUCGGAAGAACACCAGUGGCGAAGGCGACUGACUGGACAAGUAUUGACGCUGAGGUGCGAAAGCGUGGGGAGCAAACAGGAUUAGAUACCCCCGUAGUCCCUGUCUCUUAUAC
Molecule: ribosomal RNA, 301 nt
Filed under: uncultured bacterium
Lineage: Bacteria
Description: partial 16S ribosomal RNA
Rfam family: Bacterial small subunit ribosomal RNA
Source: RNAcentral